RNAcentral lists this ribosomal RNA (623 nucleotides) under uncultured bacterium. RNAcentral's name for it is "bacterial SSU rRNA". The stretch from base 1 to 522 matches the Rfam family "Bacterial small subunit ribosomal RNA", at positions 338 to 873 of the family's 1533-position model. The record is from RNAcentral.
CCUACGGGAGGCAGCAGUGAGGAAUUUUCUGCAAUGGGCGAAAGCCUGACAGAGCAAUACCGCGUGAAGGAUGAAGGCCUACGGGUUGUAAACUUCUUUUCUCAAGGAGGAAGAUCUGACGUUACUUGAGGAAUAAGCAUCGGCUAACCCUGUGCCAGCAGCCGCGGUAAUACAGGGGAUGCAAGUGUUAUCCGGAAUUAUUGGGCGUAAAGCGUCUGCAGGUUGAUAUCUAAGUCUUUUGUUAAAUCUCCAGGCUUAACCUGGAAUCUGCAAAGGAAACUAUUUAUCUUGAGUAUGGUAGGGGUAAAGGGAAUUUCCAGUGGAGCGGUGAAAUGCGUAGAUAUUGGAAAGAACACCAACAGCGAAGGCACUUUACUGGGCCAGUACUGACACUCAGAGACGAAAGCUAGGGGAGCAAACGGGAUUAGAUACCCCGGUAGUCCUAGCUGUAAACGAUGGAUACUAGAUGUUGUGGAUUUCGGUCUGCAGUGUGUAGUCGUACGUACGUUACGUAGUACCGUCCGUCGGUAGGUAGUAGUCGUCGCGAGAGUAGUAACGUACAACUAGUAAGUUAGUACGGACGUGUAGACGUAGCGACGGACGACGACGACGGGAGGUAGGAG